AUACGGAGGAUCCGAGCGUUAUCCGGAUUUAUUGGGUUUAAAGGGUGCGCAGGCGGCCAUUUAAGUCAGCGGUUAAAUCGUGGGGCUCAACCCCAUUCUGCCGUUGAUACUGGGUGGCUUGAUUGCGGUCGAGGUUGGCGGAAUUCGUUGUGUAGCGGUGAAAUGCAUAGAUAUGACGAAGAACACCGAUUGCGUAGGCAGCUGACCAGACCGCAAAUGACGCUCAUGCACGAAAGUGCGGGGAUCGAACAGGAUUAGAUACCCUGGUAGUCCGCACAGUAAACGAUGAAUACUUGUUUUCGGCGAUAUAAUGUCGGAGGCAAAGCGAAAGCGAUAAGUAUUCCACCUGGGGAGUACGCCGGCAACGGUGAAACUCAAAGGGAUUGGCGGGG
This 392-nucleotide ribosomal RNA is filed under the name uncultured bacterium. Its description in RNAcentral is "partial 16S ribosomal RNA". It matches the Rfam family "Bacterial small subunit ribosomal RNA", at positions 523 to 918 of the family's 1533-position model. The record is from RNAcentral.